This 420-nucleotide unclassified non-coding RNA is filed under the name fungal sp. RNAcentral describes it as "partial internal transcribed spacer region". The stretch from base 1 to 46 matches the Rfam family "Eukaryotic small subunit ribosomal RNA", at positions 1786 to 1831 of the family's 1831-position model. The record is from RNAcentral. Lineage: Eukaryota; Fungi.
AAGUCGUAACAAGGUUUCCGUAGGUGAACCUGCGGAAGGAUCAUUAACACGUUAGCCUGCCGAAAGGAGGCUUUCGUAACUAUAAAAAACGCGAACUGUUAUUCUCCCUGGUUUGGUUGUGAGGUGUUAGGGUCACUUAGGUAGAUAGCAUUCCGAUGCUAUAGUGGCCUUAGCUACGGGUCUUUGAACUCAGCCUUGCAGCCUUACUAGGUGUAUAUAAAUCCAUAUAUCUCCUUCUGCCUUAGGAGGUAUAUGGGGGUCCUAUUAACCAUUUAGGGCCCUUGUAUUCAUUUAAACUACGUUUAAUAUUGAUCUGAUUUAAGCUUACUGGCGCUUGAUUCGCUCGAAAGGGCUAGAGUCGUGCCGUAGGUUUCAUAUAUAAAUGAUACGACUCUUACCAAUGGAUGUCUUGGUUCCCAU